AUUAGAUACCCACUAUGCCUGACCGUAAACUUUAACUUACACCUUGAUCGUCAGGGAAUUACGAGCAAAGCUUAAAACCCAAAGGACUUGACGGUGCCCCAUAUCCCCCUAGAGGAGCCUGUCCUAUAAUCGAUAAUCCCCGUUUAACCUCACCACAUCUAGCCCAUCAGCCUGUAUACUUCCGUCGCAAGCCUACCACAUGAGCGACACCUAGUUAGCCCAAUGUCCACACAUAAAUGUGCUUACAUCGACAAUACGUCAGGUCAAAGUGCAGCAAAUGAUGUGGGAUGAGAUUGGCUACACUUUUUAAUUUAAAAAAAACGGAAAACAAUAAUGAAACUUUGUCAGAAGGUGGAUUUAGCAGUAAAAGGAAAAUAUAAAAUUUCUUUAAACUCGGCACUGGGGUGUGUACACACCGCCCGUCACCCUCUUCGAAAAUAUUAAAUUAGUACUUAACUCAUUACCAAAAAUAAAGAAGAGGCAAGUCGUAACAUGGUAAGCGUACCGGAAGGUGUGCUUGGAAA
RNAcentral lists this ribosomal RNA (524 nucleotides) under Eleutherodactylus etheridgei (Etheridge's robber frog). Its description in RNAcentral is "partial 12S ribosomal RNA". It matches the Rfam family "Bacterial small subunit ribosomal RNA", at positions 777 to 1522 of the family's 1533-position model. Lineage: Eukaryota; Metazoa; Chordata; Amphibia; Anura; Eleutherodactylidae. The record is from RNAcentral.